Molecule: transfer RNA, 64 nt
Filed under: Cavia porcellus (domestic guinea pig)
Lineage: Eukaryota; Metazoa; Chordata; Mammalia; Rodentia; Caviidae
Rfam family: tRNA
About the family: Transfer RNA (tRNA) molecules are approximately 80 nucleotides in length. Their secondary structure includes four short double-helical elements and three loops (D, anti-codon, and T loops).
Source: Rfam by way of RNAcentral
AGGGAUUUAGCUUAGCGGUGUAAGCGCCUGUCUGGCAAGCAUGAGGCUGUGAGUUCAAUCCCCA